AGUGAACGCUGGCGGUAGGCCUAACACAUGCAAGUCGAACGGCAGCACAGUAAGAGCUUGCUCUUACGGGUGGCGAGUGGCGGACGGGUGAGGAAUACAUCGGAAUCUACUUUUUCGUGGGGGAUAACGUAGGGAAACUUACGCUAAUACCGCACACGACCUACGGGUGAAAGCAGGGGAUCUUCGGACCUUGCGCGAUUGAAUGAGCCGAUGUCGGAUUAGCUAGUUGGCGGGGUAAAGGCCCACCAAGGCGGCGAUCCGUAGCUGGUCUGAGAGGAUGAUCAGCCACACUGGAACUGAGACACGGUCCAGACUCCUACGGGAGGCAGCAGUGGGGAAUAUUGGACAAUGGGCGCAAGCCUGAUCCAGCCAUACCGCGUGGGUGAAGAAGGCCUUCGGGUUGUAAAGCCCUUUUGUUGGGAAAGAAAAGCAGCAGGUUAAUACCCCGCUGUUCUGACGGUACCCAAAGAAUAAGCACCGGCUAACUUCGUG
This 492-nucleotide ribosomal RNA is filed under the name uncultured bacterium. RNAcentral describes it as "partial 16S ribosomal RNA". It matches the Rfam family "Bacterial small subunit ribosomal RNA", at positions 29 to 507 of the family's 1533-position model. The record is from RNAcentral.